Molecule: long non-coding RNA, 2687 nt
Organism: Equus asinus (donkey)
Lineage: Eukaryota; Metazoa; Chordata; Mammalia; Perissodactyla; Equidae
Source: Ensembl
GUGCAAACUGUCCUCAAGUCAAUGUUGCAUUGGUUCUCUGGGUCAGAGUAAAUCACAACUCUUUUUGUCACAAUGCAAUUUAAAUUUCAGGAUUGGACAAAAGAAUUUCUGUUGACCUCUCUGAGCAAUAUCCAAGACAUUACCUUGGCCUGAAGUAUGAUUUCCUCAAGCCAUCGAGGCCCUCCAGUCAUCCUAUCUCCAUUCCUGUCAGCAUGGCUACAAUCAGAUUGAUCUGCAACCCAGUCAAGUGCUGGGGGAGUUCAAACAGUGCAAUUCUCUCACUACCAGAAAAAAAAAAGGAAAAGGAAAAGAAGUUCAGCGGCCUGGGGAAGCUGCUACAUGGGAUGGGGCCCUACACCACAGGUGGCUGCAGAGAGUCUGCAGGCGGCCAGAGGGAGACGAGAUGGAGGAGCGCCCAUUUUCUCUUUUCUUUUAAGAUGGAAGUGACCUAAGGGGACGGAAUUGCUCGAGAGGGAGAAGGUGAAAGAACAGGAGAGGCCAAGGAAAGGAGCAGGGCCAUCUCCACUGCUGAGACCUUCCCAGAAGUCUGGCCUGAAGUGGAGAGAAAGACCAGCUGGUGGCGCAACCUCCGUGAAGUGGGGACCACGUCUGCUGAGAAAGGGGAGGAGGGCCGGGGGGGAACUUGAGGAGCUGGAAGGAAUUUUAAAAUGCUGCCAUGAGGAACAAAGUAGAAAGAUGGUGAGCUCGGAUGUGAGGCCCGGCUGAAUCCUCGGCGGGAGGUGUGCGGGCAGGAGUAAUUCCCUACGUCUGACUCCUGGUCACCUGCAGCUCUUCUGUGUUUUCCGUGGCCAGAAGACUCCUCUGAUCCCUAACGAAGUUGGAUAUUUACAUUAUGAAGUCUUAUUUUAAACCUCUGAGCGGGGAAAACUUUAAAACAGAAGCAUAGCAUUACAUAAAAAUGGUAAUACAGUUUUAUUAUUUGAAAGAUCAAAAUACAAAUGCAUUUAUAAUAAGGCAUUUUAAAGACUAUUCCCAUUACAGUAACUAUGUUGUCAUGCUCUACUUAAGAGUCCAGAACUUUCAUGCACAUGCAUUACGUAUGCAUCGAUAUAUGAACAAUAUAUGGAAAAGACAGCAUGCACAGCCUACCAAGAGACGGUUCUCUUCCUCACCGUGAUCAUCAUUCAGAAUAUUCUGCAUGUCCAUUCUGGUUUGCACUCUCUGACUUCUACGUCAGAGUCUAGGCCUCAGUAUACCUUCCUGCAUUUUAGCCCAAACAUAUAGUGAAGUAGAGCAGGACAGAGAAUUCCUUUCCUAAAAAUGAAAUCAGCAGUACAGGCAUCUAGAUUCCCUUAAACAACCAUCUGAGGCUUGCUGACUGCUGGCUCUGUGCUUUUGUGGAGUUAUGCUGCUCUCCUCUCCCUCGCCCUCACGCUUCUCACCAGCACCGGGCAAGCAUCUCAGACAGGAUGGCCUGCAUGGAGCUCAGUGCUGAGGGCAAGGGUGGCCUCACAGGUUUGCAAAUAUAUACAGGGGCUGUUUGUGCUUCUGAGCAAUCUCUGCCCACUGACCCCUGUGUCCAGUAAAAGCGGCAGAGGGAACAAGGACUGCUAAUGACAGUGCAAGACACAGAUAACACCACACACUUUGAUUACAAAUAGGCCUUGUUGCUAAUUAAUGUUUACAUAAAACAAUUAACAAAAUAUUUCAGUGUGAAAUUUCUCUUUUAAAAUGCACUACAAAAACCACAUAUUUUAAACAGUCAACUAAAUGACAAAGUCGUCUACAAAUUUGUCUAUAGUCUUGCUGAGUACCUCUAAUUUAUAGCAGCUUAGCUGGUCUCUCAAUGCCCCCUGGAGCUUAGAGGUAGAAGAUUCUAUAAUGUCAACAAGAGGACAUGCAGACAGUAAAAUAUAGAUGGGAAAAGUUUAGCUUCACAAUGAUUUAAGCAACACAAAUAACUAUGAAGUUUCAUUAACUAUUCCCAAUAAAUUGAUAAAAUCCAGCUUACAGCAAUAAACAGCUGAUUAUAAGUGGAACAGGACAAAGGACACCUCAAACAUCUCUGAUGACACUGCAAAUCACCAGAUAUUGUAACCUCUUUGGGAGCACAGUCAUGCAAUACGUGAUAAUAACCAAAAAACUCUGACCCAGCAAUUCCACCUUUGGAAACAGCCCCAAGGAGUUAGGACAAAGGUAGGAAAAGAAAAUUCUGUACAAAGACAUUUACUAAAGUUGCUCUCCAUACGAGAAGGACAUGUAAGACAAUCCUAUCAACCAAAGGGUGUCUUAGCAAACCACAGUAUGCAGGCACACCAUGAAUGUCUGAGGGGCCAUCAUAAUGCUACCACUGUCAACUGAGUCCAUGCAGGGAAUUUUAUAUGUGAAAUAAUAAAUGAAAGUAAGGGGAGAACACAAUAGAAUCAAUAUGUAACUUGCAAUAGAUGAAAAUGUAUAUGGGUACACAGAUCACAUCAGGAGUGAAUGAAGAAUGGUAUAAAUAAAUGGUAUUUAGAGAUUUCUGUUGUUGAUGUUGCUGUUGUAAAGUUGAGUCCAAAACAAACUUUAAAUUUACAAAACAAAAAGGGACACCUAGAGCUAUCCAUGGAUGCUGAGUCAUACCCAUGGUGAGUGCUGUGGGCCCAGAGCAGACCUUGGCUCAGCCAGGAUUUCUCAGCCUCGGCACUACCAACAUUUUGGGCCAGAUAAUUCUUUGCUGUGGGGCU